This 1325-nucleotide ribosomal RNA is filed under the name metagenome. Its description in RNAcentral is "bacterial LSU rRNA". It matches the Rfam family "Bacterial large subunit ribosomal RNA", at positions 1561 to 2925 of the family's 2925-position model. The record is from RNAcentral.
AGUGGAUGGGGAGCAGCCUAGUUGUGCGUGUGUAAAGGUAGUGCCAAGAAAAGCGAUGAUCAUGUUGAAAAUCAAUUCCCGGUACCCGAAACCGACACAGGUGGGCAAGUAGAGAAUACUAAGGGGCGCGAGGUAACUCUCUCCAAGGAACUCGGCAAAAUGACCCCGUAACUUAGGGAGAAGGGGUGCCACCGAGAGGUGGUCGCAGUGAAGAGGCCCAGGCGACUGUUUAGCAAAAACAUAGGUCUCUGCAAACUCGAAAGAGGAGGUAUAGGGGCUGACGCCUGCCCAGUGCCGGAAGGUUAAAGAAGUUGGUCAGUUUUAGGAUGAAGCUAGCGACUGAAGCCCCGGUGAACGGCGGCCGUAACUAUAACGGUCCUAAGGUAGCGAAAUUCCUUGUCGGGUAAGUUCCGACCCGCACGAAAGGCGUAACGAUCUGGGCGCUGUCUCGGAGAGAGGCUCGGCGAAAUAGGAUUGUCUGUGAAGAUACGGACUACCUGCAUUUGGACAGAAAGACCCUAUGAAGCUUUACUAUAGCUUGGAAUUGUGUUCGGGCUUCCUGUGCGCAGGAUAGGUGGGAGGCGUAGAAGGUAUUCUUGUGGGGAUACUGGGGCCAACGGUGAGAUACCACUCUCAGGAGGCUAGAAUUCUAACUUAAUUAAGGACAGUUUCAGGUGGGUAGUUUGACUGGGGCGGUCGCCUCCAAAAAGGUAACGGAGGCGUACAAAGGUUCCCUCAGACUGGUUGGAAAUCAGUCGAAGAGUGCAAAGGCAGAAGGGAGCUUGACUGCGAGAAGUACAGUUCGAGCGGGGUGGAAACACGGUCUUAGUGAUCCGACGGUGCUGUGUGGAAGGGCCGUCGCUCAACGGAUAAAAGUUACUCUAGGAUAACAGGCUGAUCUCCCCCAAGAGUUCACAUCGACGGGGAGGUUUGGCACCUCGAUGUCGGCUCAUCGCAACCUGGGGCGGAAGUACGUCCCAAGGGUUGGGCUGUUCGCCCAUUAAAGCGGUACGUGAGCUGGGUUCAGAACGUCGUGAGACAGUUCGGUCCAUAUCCGAUGUAGGCGUGAGAAUAUUGAGAGGAGCCUUCCUUAGUACGAGAGGACCGGGAAGGACGCACCGCUGGUGUACCUGUUAUGAUGCCAAUUGUAAACGCAGGGUAGCCAAGUGCGGAGAGGAUAACCGCUGAAAGCAUCUAAGUGGGAAGCCCACCUCAAGAUGAGUAUUCUGGUGAAAGGUCACGGGAAGACGACCCGUAAAUAGGCACGAGGUGGAAGUGCAGAGAUGUAUGAAGCCGAAGUGUACUAAUAGACCGUCGGCUUGACC